UGGGAUAUAGCCAAAUUGGUAAGGCACUCGACUCUGAAUCGAGCAAUUACAGGUUCGAACCCUGUUAUCCCAA
This 73-nucleotide transfer RNA is filed under the name Enterococcus sp. Its description in RNAcentral is "tRNA-Gln". It matches the Rfam family "tRNA". Rfam says of the family: Transfer RNA (tRNA) molecules are approximately 80 nucleotides in length. The record is from RNAcentral. Lineage: Bacteria; Bacillati; Bacillota; Bacilli; Lactobacillales; Enterococcaceae. RNAcentral also lists the same sequence under 3 other names.